CCCCUUAUGUCCUGGGCUACACACGUGUUACAAUGGGUAGGACAACGAGCAGCCAGCCAGCGAUGGUGAGCAAAUCUCUUAAACCUACUCUCAGUUCGGAUCGCAGUCUGCAACCCGACUGCGUGAAGUCGGAAUCGCUAGUAACCGUAGAUCAGCACGCUGCGGUGAAUACGUUCCCGGGUCUUGUACACACCGCCCGUCACACCAUGGGAGCUGAUCACGCCCGAAGUCGGUGAGCUAACCCUCUGGGAAGCAGCCGCCUAAGGCAGGGUCGGUGACUGGGGUGAAGUCGUAACAAGGUAGCCGUACCGGAAGGUGUGGCUGGAUCACCUCCUUUCUAGGGAGA
This 346-nucleotide ribosomal RNA is filed under the name Candidatus Melainabacteria bacterium GWF2_37_15. RNAcentral describes it as "bacterial SSU rRNA". It matches the Rfam family "Bacterial small subunit ribosomal RNA", at positions 1198 to 1533 of the family's 1533-position model. The record is from RNAcentral. Lineage: Bacteria; Bacillati; Candidatus Melainabacteria.